AGAUUGAACGCUGGCGGCAGGCCUAACACAUGCAAGUCGAGCGGUAGAGAGGUGCUUGCAUCUCUUGAGAGCGGCGGACGGGUGAGUAAUGCCUAGGAAUCUGCCUAGUGGUGGGGGAUAACGUUCGGAAACGGACGCUAAUACCGCAUACGUCCUACGGGAGAAAGCGGGGGACCUUCGGGCCUCGCGCCAUUAGAUGAGCCUAGGUCGGAUUAGCUAGUUGGUGAGGUAAUGGCUCACCAAGGCGACGAUCCGUAACUGGUCUGAGAGGAUGAUCAGCCACACUGGAACUGAGACACGGUCCAGACUCCUACGGGAGCAGCAGUGGGGAAUAGUUGGACAAGUGGGACGCGAAGCCUGAUCCAGCCAUACCGCGUGGGUGAAGAAGGCCUUUACGGGUUAGUAAACGGUCCCGUUUUAGGUUAGGGUAAAAG
This 434-nucleotide ribosomal RNA is filed under the name uncultured soil bacterium. RNAcentral's name for it is "bacterial SSU rRNA". It matches the Rfam family "Bacterial small subunit ribosomal RNA", at positions 26 to 454 of the family's 1533-position model. The record is from RNAcentral.